CACACACCAAAGAAGGGGGUCGGCCUGGGGGUGGGCCACAUAGGCAGCUUCUUCAGCAGCCUCUUGGCAGCAGCCCCAGCCUUCCCAAAGCAGCAGUGCCCCCAGGCUGGGGCCCAACCUAGAAGGCAGGGGUUGAUUUAACAAAAACAUAACGUUGACUUUUUUUCCCCGGUGGGGCUUAUUCUGUAACAUGACUUGCGGAUAUUUAUAUAAAAAUGAGUGUUACAAUGAG
Molecule: long non-coding RNA, 232 nt
Filed under: Bos taurus (domestic cattle)
Lineage: Eukaryota; Metazoa; Chordata; Mammalia; Artiodactyla; Bovidae
Description: long non-coding RNA NONBTAT015640
Source: RNAcentral